GCAUCUUCGACCCUUUAUGAGAGGGUUUUUGGUCUCUUGAGACCUUUAUUUCAUUGUUGGAGAAGAAGAGAUGGUGUCAGAUCAGGGCUAAUUGACUUUGAGAUGGGGUGGGGUUUCAGAUUCCAUUUUUGGCCAAACCUAGCUGUAUUCUAGGGUCGUUGGUUGUGGAUUAUGGAUGGGAAGGUGAGACGGUCACCAGGUUGAGGGGGUUCCGGUGAGUUUAGGGUUUGGUUCAAAUUUCUUUGAGGGACGAGGCCUAGAUGGUUGGGAAGAGGGGAACGAGGCAGUUCAGGGGUGUUAUUUUGGGUCAGUUUGGGGUUAGGGACACUGUAGGCGGUGGAGCGGGCGACUAUUCUUUCGAAUAUUCGACGAUAUGGGGAGGUAUUUGAGGGGAGCUAAUGGUGGGAGGGGAAAUAGGAGGUUUAGAGGAUUUGGUGAUGUAAAUUUUGGGCCAUUUGGUGGCCGGCCGCCGCCGUGAGGUGAUUUCUGGCGGCGGCGUUACGGUGGUUGAGGGAUGGUGUUACAUCGGUGUAGUUAGGUACGAG
This 545-nucleotide long non-coding RNA is filed under the name Nicotiana benthamiana. RNAcentral describes it as "long non-coding RNA (NBEN_LNC019820)". Lineage: Eukaryota; Viridiplantae; Streptophyta; Magnoliopsida; Solanales; Solanaceae. The record is from RNAcentral.